This is a non-coding RNA of Bombyx mori (domestic silkworm), 84 nucleotides long. The record is from Rfam. Lineage: Eukaryota; Metazoa; Arthropoda; Insecta; Lepidoptera; Bombycidae.
UGUAAGCACAUUUGUAUGGAGUUGGAACCAUUGCCUACGUUUGCCGCUACGGGCGCUGUUCCAACUCCAUACAAAUUAGAGUUA